This 469-nucleotide ribosomal RNA is filed under the name uncultured bacterium. RNAcentral's name for it is "bacterial SSU rRNA". It matches the Rfam family "Bacterial small subunit ribosomal RNA", at positions 45 to 507 of the family's 1533-position model. The record is from RNAcentral.
CGCCUAAUACAUGCAAGUCGAGCGAGAAGGUGUAGCAAUACACUUGUAAAGCGGCGAACGGGUGAGGAAUGCAUGGGUAACCUACCCUCGAGUGGGGAAUAACUAGCCGAAAGGUUAGCUAAUACCGCAUACGUUUCCGGAACUUCGGUUUCGGAAAGAAAGCAAUACCGUGGGUAUUGCGCUCCUGGAUGGGCUCAUGUCCUAUCAGCUUGUUGGUGAGGUAACGGCUCACCCAAGGCUUCGACGGGUAGCUGGUCUGAGAGGACGAUCAGCCACACUGGCACUGCGACACGGGCCAGACUCCUACGGGAGGCAGCAGUAAGGAAUAUUGCGCAAUGGACGAAAGUCUGACGCAGCGACGCCGCGUGGGGGAUGAAGGUCUUCGGAUUGUAAACCCCUUUCGGGAGGGAAGAUGGAGUGGGUAACCACUUGGACGGUACCUCCAGAAGCAGCCACGGCUAACUUCGUG